This 253-nucleotide ribosomal RNA is filed under the name uncultured bacterium. RNAcentral describes it as "partial 16S ribosomal RNA". It matches the Rfam family "Bacterial small subunit ribosomal RNA", at positions 524 to 776 of the family's 1533-position model. The record is from RNAcentral.
UACGGGGGGGGCAAGCGUUGUUCGGAAUUACUGGGCGUAAAGGGCCAGUAGGCGGCCAACUAAGUCGGAUGUGAAAUCCCCAGGCUCAACUUGGGAACUGCAUCCGAUACUGGAUGGCUUGAAUUCGGGAGAGGGAUGCAGAAUUCCAGGUGUAGCGGUGAAAUGCGUAGAUAUCGGGAGGAACACCAGAGGCGAAGGCGGCGAUCUGGACUGAUACUGACGCUGAGGUGCGAAAGCGUGGGGAGCAAACAGG